RNAcentral lists this ribosomal RNA (547 nucleotides) under uncultured Rhizophagus. RNAcentral describes it as "SSU rRNA". It matches the Rfam family "Eukaryotic small subunit ribosomal RNA", at positions 548 to 1098 of the family's 1831-position model. The record is from RNAcentral. Lineage: Eukaryota; Fungi; Glomeromycota; Glomeromycetes; Glomerales; Glomeraceae.
UUGGAGGGCAAGUCUGGUGCCAGCAGCCGCGGUAAUUCCAGCUCCAAUAGCGUAUAUUAAAGUUGUUGCAGUUAAAAAGCUCGUAGUUGAAUUUCGAGAUCGGCUUACUGGUCGUGCUAUUGUACGUACUGGUAUAAUCGGUUUCUCCUUUCUGACGAACUAUAAUGCCAUUAAUUUGGUGUUUUAGGGAAUCAGGACUGUUACUUUGAAAAAUUAGAGUGUUUAAAGCAGGCUCACGCUUGAAUACAUUAGCAUGGAAUAACGGAAUAGGACGUUUGAUUCUAUUUUGUUGGUUUCUAGGAUCGACGUAAUGAUUAAUAGGGAUAGUUGGGGGCAUUAGUAUUCAAUUGUCAGAGGUGAAAUUCUUGGAUUUAUUGAAGACUAACUACUGCGAAAGCAUUUGCCAAGGAUGUUUUCAUUAAUCAAGAACGAAAGUUAGGGGAUCGAAGACGAUCAGAUACCGUCGUAGUCUUAACCAUAAACUAUGCCGACUAGGGAUCGGAUGAUGUUAAUUUUUAAUGUACUCAUUCGGCGCCUUACGGGAAAC